This 254-nucleotide ribosomal RNA is filed under the name uncultured bacterium. Its description in RNAcentral is "partial 16S ribosomal RNA". It matches the Rfam family "Bacterial small subunit ribosomal RNA", at positions 524 to 776 of the family's 1533-position model. The record is from RNAcentral.
CACGUAGGGUGCGAGCGUUGUCCGGAUUUAUUGGGCGUAAAGAGCUCGUAGGCGGCUUGGCAAGUCGGGUGUGAAACCUCCAGGCUCAACCUGGAGACGCCACUCGAUACUGCCAUGGCUAGAGUCCGGUAGGGGACCACGGAAUUCCUGGUGUAGCGGUGAAAUGCGCAGAUAUCAGGAGGAACACCGGUGGCGAAGGCGGUGGUCUGGGCCGGCACUGACGCUGAGGAGCGAAAGCGUGGGGAGCGAACAGG